Molecule: long non-coding RNA, 542 nt
Filed under: Calidris pugnax (ruff)
Lineage: Eukaryota; Metazoa; Chordata; Aves; Charadriiformes; Scolopacidae
Description: lncRNA (ENSCPUG00000014239.1)
Source: RNAcentral
GCAUCCCUGAUUCUGAUACCAGCAUUUCAGCGUUGACCUUGAAUGAGAGUUUUAAGAUGCCUACCAGCAAGACCUCCCAAGAACCUUUGGCCUACACCUUCCUCCAAAUCUUACGGCACAGAAGAAAUUUUGCAAGUCCAGCAAAAUAUCAAGGAAGAUCAGAUAGAUGGAUGACCUGGCUCAUUCAGAGAAUUGAAAAAUUGGCUGACAUCCUUGGGACAGAAAUGGGACAAACAUGAUACCAGAAGACCAAGAAGUGCCAGAGUGAGCUGGCAAAUAGGUACCAUGACUUAAUUCUUUAAUUGUCGGUCUUGAAGAGCAAUGCUGCUCAAGUCUGAAUAUCAUAAAGCCCUUAGUGAAACUUGUCUGAAGUUGAUUCAUUCGGUUUCUCGUUGAGCUUGUUCCUCAAGGCUAAUCUGCAUCUCUAAUUGUGUUUUAUGUGCUUUGAAUACAAUUUACCUUCUUUUUUUUCCUACCAUUGCAUAAAAUGAUUCAGUAGUUAUUUUGCAUCUUAGAAUAAAUACUCUGUCUACAAUAGUACA